GACGAACGCUGGCGGCGUGCUUAACACAUGCAAGUCGAACGGAAAGGCCCCUUUGGGGGUACUCGAGUGGCGAACGGGUGAGUAACACGUGAGUAACCUGCCCUUGACUUCGGGAUAACUUCAGGAAACUGGGGCUAAUACCGGAUAGGAAUCCUUGCUGCAUGGUGGGGGUGGGAAAGCUUGGGCGGUUUUGGAUGGACUCGCGGCUUAUCAGCUUGUUGGUGGGGUAGUGGCUUACCAAGGCUUUGACGGGUAGCCGGCCUGAGAGGGCGACCGGCCACAUUGGGACUGGGAUACGGCCCAGACUCCUACGGGGGGCAGCAGUGGGGAAUAUUGCACAAUGGGCGGAAGCCUGAUGCAGCAACGCCGCGUGCGGGAUGACGGCCUUCGGGUUGUAAACCGCUUUCAGCAGGGGCGAAGCUUGUGGUGACGGUACCUGCAGAAGAAGCACCGGCUAACUACGUG
This 465-nucleotide ribosomal RNA is filed under the name uncultured bacterium. Its description in RNAcentral is "partial 16S ribosomal RNA". It matches the Rfam family "Bacterial small subunit ribosomal RNA", at positions 28 to 507 of the family's 1533-position model. The record is from RNAcentral.